RNAcentral lists this long non-coding RNA (217 nucleotides) under Elaeis guineensis (African oil palm). RNAcentral describes it as "long non-coding RNA (EGUI_LNC027372)". The record is from RNAcentral. Lineage: Eukaryota; Viridiplantae; Streptophyta; Magnoliopsida; Arecales; Arecaceae.
AAUGGAAGAAACUCUAGAAAAGAUGAUUGAAUCAGUUCUAUCUAUAUGUUUCAAUUUAAAUCCUAACUUGAUAAAGAACCAGAAGAUUUUUCUUAUUAAUUUUUUUAUAGGAUUUGUUUUGAAAUUGUCUAAUUGAAUUGAUAUGAGAAUUAAGAUUUGAUUUAUAUUGGAUUAUAGUAAAGCUAUAUGAUGAUUUUAAAAUAUGAUAUUGGAUAUA